AUAACAGUUAGAAAUGGCUGCUAAUACCGCAUAAGACCACAGCACCGCAUGGUGCAGGGGUAAAAACUCCGGUGGUAUGAGAUGGACCCGCGUCUGAUUAGCUAGUUGGUGGGGUAACGGCCUACCAAGGCGACGAUCAGUAGCCGACCUGAGAGGGUGACCGGCCACAUUGGGACUGAGACACGGCCCAAACUCCUACGGGAGGCAGCAGUGGGGAAUAUUGCACAAUGGGGGAAACCCUGAUGCAGCGACGCCGCGUGAGCGAAGAAGUAUUUCGGUAUGUAAAGCUCUAUCAGCAGGGAAGAAAAUGACGGUACCUGACUAAGAAGCCCCGGCUAACUGCGUGCCAGCAGCCGCGGUAAUACGUAGGGGGCAAGCGUUAUCCGGAUUUACUGGGUGUAAAGGGAGCGUAGACGGCGAGGCAAGUCUGAUGUGAAAACCCGGGGCUCAACCCCGUGACUGCAUUGGAAACUGUUUUGCUUGAGUGCCGGAGAGGUAAGCGGAAUUCCUAGUGUAGCGGUGAAAUGCGUAGAUAUUAGGAGGAACACCAGUGGCGAAGGCGGCUUACUGGACGGCAACUGACGUUGAGGCUCGAAAGCGUGGGGAGCAAACAGGAUUAGAUACCCUGGUAGUCCACGCCGU
This 642-nucleotide ribosomal RNA is filed under the name uncultured bacterium. RNAcentral's name for it is "bacterial SSU rRNA". It matches the Rfam family "Bacterial small subunit ribosomal RNA", at positions 143 to 803 of the family's 1533-position model. The record is from RNAcentral.